Molecule: ribosomal RNA, 462 nt
Filed under: uncultured bacterium
Lineage: Bacteria
Description: partial 16S ribosomal RNA
Rfam family: Bacterial small subunit ribosomal RNA
Source: RNAcentral
GACGAACGCUGGCGGCGUGCUUAACACAUGCCAGUCGAACGGAAAGGCCCUUCGGGGUACUCGAGUGGCGAACGGGUGAGUAACACGUGGGUGAUCUGCCCUGCACUUUGGGAUAAGCCUGGGAAACUGGGUCUAAUACCGAAUAGGACCACGCGCUUCAUGGUGUGUGGUGGAAAGCUUUUGCGGUGUGGGAUGGGCCCGCGGCCUAUCAGCUUGUUGGUGGGGUAAUGGCCUACCAAGGCGACGACGGGUAGCCGGCCUGAGAGGGUGACCGGCCACACUGGGACUGAGAUACGGCCCAGACUCCUACGGGAGGCAGCAGUGGGGAAUAUUGCACAAUGGGCGCAAGCCUGAUGCAGCGACGCCGCGUGAGGGAUGACGGCCUUCGGGUUGUAAACCUCUUUCAAUAGGGACGAAGCGCAAGUGACGGUACCUAUAGAAAAAGCACCGGCCAACUACGUG